UCACAUAGUUCAGUCGGUAGAGCAGGACACUCUUAAUCUCUGGUUUGUGGGCUGGAGUCCCACAUUGGGCAAAA
Molecule: non-coding RNA, 74 nt
Organism: Podarcis lilfordi (Lilford's wall lizard)
Lineage: Eukaryota; Metazoa; Chordata; Lepidosauria; Squamata; Lacertidae
Source: the annotation of a GenBank genome assembly